RNAcentral lists this ribosomal RNA (904 nucleotides) under Halomonas halophila. Its description in RNAcentral is "bacterial SSU rRNA". Lineage: Bacteria; Pseudomonadati; Pseudomonadota; Gammaproteobacteria; Oceanospirillales; Halomonadaceae. The record is from RNAcentral.
CAAGCGUUAAUCGGAAUUACUGGGCGUAAAGCGCGCGUAGGCGGCUUGAUAAGCCGGUUGUGAAAGCCCCGGGCUCAACCUGGGAACGGCAUCCGGAACUGUCAGGCUAGAGUGCAGGAGAGGAAGGUAGAAUUCCCGGUGUAGCGGUGAAAUGCGUAGAGAUCGGGAGGAAUACCAGUGGCGAAGGCGGCCUUCUGGACUGACACUGACGCUGAGGUGCGAAAGCGUGGGUAGCAAACAGGAUUAGAUACCCUGGUAGUCCACGCCGUAAACGAUGUCGACUAGCCGUUGGGGUCCUCGAGACCUUUGUGGCGCAGUUAACGCGAUAAGUCGACCGCCUGGGGAGUACGGCCGCAAGGUUAAAACUCAAAUGAAUUGACGGGGGCCCGCACAAGCGGUGGAGCAUGUGGUUUAAUUCGAUGCAACGCGAAGAACCUUACCUACUCUUGACAUCGAGCGAACCWUCCAGAGAUGGAUGGGUGCCUUCGGGAACGCUCAGACAGGUGCUGCAUGGCCGUCGUCAGCUCGUGUUGUGAAAUGUUGGGUUAAGUCCCGUAACGAGCGCAACCCUUGUCCCUAUUUGCCAGCGAUUCGGUCGGGAACUCUAGGGAGACUGCCGGUGACAAACCGGAGGAAGGUGGGGACGACGUCAGGUCAUCAUGGCCCUUACGAGUAGGGCUACACACGUGCUACAAUGGCCGGUACAAUGGGCUGCMAUCCCGCGAGGGGGAGCUAAUCUCAUAAAGCCGGUCUCAGUCCGGAUCGGAGUCUGCAACUCGACUCCGUGAAGUCGGAAUCGCUAGUAAUCGUGCAUCAGAAUGGCACGGUGAAUACGUUCCCGGGCCUUGUACACACCGCCCGUCACACCAUGGGAGUGGACUGCACCAGAAGUGGUUAGCCUAAC